This 118-nucleotide ribosomal RNA is filed under the name Salmonella enterica subsp. enterica serovar Enteritidis. Its description in RNAcentral is "partial 23S ribosomal RNA". The stretch from base 1 to 106 matches the Rfam family "Bacterial large subunit ribosomal RNA", at positions 2820 to 2925 of the family's 2925-position model. Lineage: Bacteria; Pseudomonadati; Pseudomonadota; Gammaproteobacteria; Enterobacterales; Enterobacteriaceae. The record is from RNAcentral.
UAGUCUCCUGAUUGAACGUUGAAGACGACGACGUUGAUAGGCCGGGUGUGUAAGCGCAGCGAUGCGUUGAGCUAACCGGUACUAAUGAACCGUGAGGCUUAACCUUACAACGCCGAAG